UGACAUAUUUAUGUAAUCUAUAAGUUUGU
Molecule: small RNA, 29 nt
Filed under: Bombyx mori (domestic silkworm)
Lineage: Eukaryota; Metazoa; Arthropoda; Insecta; Lepidoptera; Bombycidae
Description: ovarian small RNA-31443
Source: RNAcentral